RNAcentral lists this ribosomal RNA (467 nucleotides) under uncultured bacterium. Its description in RNAcentral is "partial 16S ribosomal RNA". It matches the Rfam family "Bacterial small subunit ribosomal RNA", at positions 29 to 507 of the family's 1533-position model. The record is from RNAcentral.
ACGAACGCUGGCGGCGUGCUUAACACAUGCAAGUCGAACGGAAAGGCCCUGCUUUUGUGGGGUGCUCGAGUGGCGAACGGGUGAGUAACACGCGAGUAACCUGCCCUUGACUUUGGGAUAACUUCAGGAAACUGGGGCUAAUACCGGAUAGGAGCUCCUGCUGCAUGGUGGGGGUUGGAAAGUUUCGGCGGUUGGGGAUGGACUCGCGGCUCAUCAGCUUGUUGGUGGGGUAGUGGCUUACCAAGGCUUUGACGGGUAGCCGGCCUGAGAGGGUGACCGGCCACAUUGGGACUGAGAUACGGCCCAGACUCCUACGGGAGGCAGCAGUGGGGAAUAUUGCACAAUGGGCGGAAGCCUGAUGCAGCAACGCCGCGUGCGGGAUGACGGCCUUCGGGUUGUAAACCGCUUUCGCCUGUGACGAAGCGUGAGUGACGGUAAUGGGUAAAGAAGCACCGGCUAACUACGUG